Molecule: ribosomal RNA, 2921 nt
Filed under: Staphylococcus aureus
Lineage: Bacteria; Bacillati; Bacillota; Bacilli; Caryophanales; Staphylococcaceae
Also listed under: 4 other names
Description: bacterial LSU rRNA
Rfam family: Bacterial large subunit ribosomal RNA
Source: RNAcentral
UUAAGUUAUUAAGGGCGCACGGUGGAUGCCUUGGCACUAGAAGCCGAUGAAGGACGUUACUAACGACGAUAUGCUUUGGGGAGCUGUAAGUAAGCUUUGAUCCAGAGAUUUCCGAAUGGGGAAACCCAGCAUGAGUUAUGUCAUGUUAUCGAUAUGUGAAUACAUAGCAUAUCAGAAGGCACACCCGGAGAACUGAAACAUCUUAGUACCCGGAGGAAGAAAAAGAAAAUUCGAUUCCCUUAGUAGCGGCGAGCGAAACGGGAAGAGCCCAAACCAACAAGCUUGCUUGUUGGGGUUGUAGGACACUCUAUACGGAGUUACAAAGGACGACAUUAGACGAAUCAUCUGGAAAGAUGAAUCAAAGAAGGUAAUAAUCCUGUAGUCGAAAAUGUUGUCUCUCUUGAGUGGAUCCUGAGUACGACGGAGCACGUGAAAUUCCGUCGGAAUCUGGGAGGACCAUCUCCUAAGGCUAAAUACUCUCUAGUGACCGAUAGUGAACCAGUACCGUGAGGGAAAGGUGAAAAGCACCCCGGAAGGGGAGUGAAAUAGAACCUGAAACCGUGUGCUUACAAGUAGUCAGAGCCCGUUAAUGGGUGAUGGCGUGCCUUUUGUAGAAUGAACCGGCGAGUUACGAUUUGAUGCAAGGUUAAGCAGUAAAUGUGGAGCCGUAGCGAAAGCGAGUCUGAAUAGGGCGUUUAGUAUUUGGUCGUAGACCCGAAACCAGGUGAUCUACCCUUGGUCAGGUUGAAGUUCAGGUAACACUGAAUGGAGGACCGAACCGACUUACGUUGAAAAGUGAGCGGAUGAACUGAGGGUAGCGGAGAAAUUCCAAUCGAACCUGGAGAUAGCUGGUUCUCUCCGAAAUAGCUUUAGGGCUAGCCUCAAGUGAUGAUUAUUGGAGGUAGAGCACUGUUUGGACGAGGGGCCCCUCUCGGGUUACCGAAUUCAGACAAACUCCGAAUGCCAAUUAAUUUAACUUGGGAGUCAGAACAUGGGUGAUAAGGUCCGUGUUCGAAAGGGAAACAGCCCAGACCACCAGCUAAGGUCCCAAAAUAUAUGUUAAGUGGAAAAGGAUGUGGCGUUGCCCAGACAACUAGGAUGUUGGCUUAGAAGCAGCCAUCAUUUAAAGAGUGCGUAAUAGCUCACUAGUCGAGUGACACUGCGCCGAAAAUGUACCGGGGCUAAACAUAUUACCGAAGCUGUGGAUUGUCCUUUGGACAAUGGUAGGAGAGCGUUCUAAGGGCGUUGAAGCAUGAUCGUAAGGACAUGUGGAGCGCUUAGAAGUGAGAAUGCCGGUGUGAGUAGCGAAAGACGGGUGAGAAUCCCGUCCACCGAUUGACUAAGGUUUCCAGAGGAAGGCUCGUCCGCUCUGGGUUAGUCGGGUCCUAAGCUGAGGCCGACAGGCGUAGGCGAUGGAUAACAGGUUGAUAUUCCUGUACCACCUAUAAUCGUUUUAAUCGAUGGGGGGACGCAGUAGGAUAGGCGAAGCGUGCGAUUGGAUUGCACGUCUAAGCAGUAAGGCUGAGUAUUAGGCAAAUCCGGUACUCGUUAAGGCUGAGCUGUGAUGGGGAGAAGACAUUGUGUCUUCGAGUCGUUGAUUUCACACUGCCGAGAAAAGCCUCUAGAUAGAAAAUAGGUGCCCGUACCGCAAACCGACACAGGUAGUCAAGAUGAGAAUUCUAAGGUGAGCGAGCGAACUCUCGUUAAGGAACUCGGCAAAAUGACCCCGUAACUUCGGGAGAAGGGGUGCUCUUUAGGGUUAACGCCCAGAAGAGCCGCAGUGAAUAGGCCCAAGCGACUGUUUAUCAAAAACACAGGUCUCUGCUAAACCGUAAGGUGAUGUAUAGGGGCUGACGCCUGCCCGGUGCUGGAAGGUUAAGAGGAGUGGUUAGCUUCUGCGAAGCUACGAAUCGAAGCCCCAGUAAACGGCGGCCGUAACUAUAACGGUCCUAAGGUAGCGAAAUUCCUUGUCGGGUAAGUUCCGACCCGCACGAAAGGCGUAACGAUUUGGGCACUGUCUCAACGAGAGACUCGGUGAAAUCAUAGUACCUGUGAAGAUGCAGGUUACCCGCGACAGGACGGAAAGACCCCGUGGAGCUUUACUGUAGCCUGAUAUUGAAAUUCGGCACAGCUUGUACAGGAUAGGUAGGAGCCUUUGAAACGUGAGCGCUAGCUUACGUGGAGGCGCUGGUGGGAUACUACCCUAGCUGUGUUGGCUUUCUAACCCGCACCACUUAUCGUGGUGGGAGACAGUGUCAGGCGGGCAGUUUGACUGGGGCGGUCGCCUCCUAAAAGGUAACGGAGGCGCUCAAAGGUUCCCUCAGAAUGGUUGGAAAUCAUUCAUAGAGUGUAAAGGCAUAAGGGAGCUUGACUGCGAGACCUACAAGUCGAGCAGGGUCGAAAGACGGACUUAGUGAUCCGGUGGUUCCGCAUGGAAGGGCCAUCGCUCAACGGAUAAAAGCUACCCCGGGGAUAACAGGCUUAUCUCCCCCAAGAGUUCACAUCGACGGGGAGGUUUGGCACCUCGAUGUCGGCUCAUCGCAUCCUGGGGCUGUAGUCGGUCCCAAGGGUUGGGCUGUUCGCCCAUUAAAGCGGUACGCGAGCUGGGUUCAGAACGUCGUGAGACAGUUCGGUCCCUAUCCGUCGUGGGCGUAGGAAAUUUGAGAGGAGCUGUCCUUAGUACGAGAGGACCGGGAUGGACAUACCUCUGGUGUACCAGUUGUCGUGCCAACGGCAUAGCUGGGUAGCUAUGUGUGGACGGGAUAAGUGCUGAAAGCAUCUAAGCAUGAAGCCCCCCUCAAGAUGAGAUUUCCCAACUUCGGUUAUAAGAUCCCUCAAAGAUGAUGAGGUUAAUAGGUUCGAGGUGGAAGCAUGGUGACAUGUGGAGCUGACGAAUACUAAUCGAUCGAAGACUUAAUCAA